Cucurbita pepo subsp. pepo (vegetable marrow) is the source of this 234-nucleotide non-coding RNA. NCBI's taxonomy places the organism in Eukaryota, Viridiplantae, Streptophyta, Magnoliopsida, Cucurbitales, Cucurbitaceae. The record is from RefSeq and is a predicted model, not a curated record.
GUUGCUCUGUUUUUUUCAUAAAUCCAUUCGCUCUCUGUUUGAAGUACAUUACAUUGUAUACACUUUUCUCAUUUGAGGACUUUUCUUGCCUUAAUCUCAUUGUGGAAGUUUUUUUUAUUGAUAUCUUGUACUGAACAUGUGUAGGUUUUGUUCUUUAUUUUGAUGCAACAUUAUACGAUGUAAAUACCUAUGAGGUUAUGGAUCACAUCACAGUGCCAAAUAAAUUGAGUUGGU